CCACUCGGCGAAGAAGACCUGGUGGCCUACAUCAUCAACGGAUUAGAUUCUGAUUAUGGUCCUGUUGUUGAGGCAUUGGUGGCUAAAUCUGAACCAGUCACUGUGUCUCAAAUUUACUCACAACUUCUGAAUUUUGAGA
Molecule: small nucleolar RNA, 139 nt
Filed under: Oryza punctata
Lineage: Eukaryota; Viridiplantae; Streptophyta; Magnoliopsida; Poales; Poaceae
Description: Small nucleolar RNA Z247
Rfam family: Small nucleolar RNA Z247
About the family: Z247 is a member of the C/D class of snoRNA which contain the C (UGAUGA) and D (CUGA) box motifs. Most of the members of the box C/D family function in directing site-specific 2'-O-methylation of substrate RNAs.
Source: Rfam by way of RNAcentral